GUGAAUCAUCAAAUUUUUGAACGCAAAUUGCGCUUCCUGGCAUCCCGGGAAGUAUGCCUGUUUGAGGGUCAGUAUUAACGAAAAAAUGGUUUCGUUGUAACUUGUGGACGUUUCGGUGGUUUGGCUUAUCUUAACUUUUUUGGUUAAGGGGCUUAAAAUUGACCUUUUUUGCGCAUUUUUAGACGUACAUAAAUUUUUUUUUUUUUGUCUUUUUUUUAUUCCUAAAUCUUAUUUGAUUCGCUUCCAUU
This 248-nucleotide unclassified non-coding RNA is filed under the name Glomeraceae sp. RNAcentral describes it as "partial contains 5.8S ribosomal RNA and internal transcribed spacer 2". The stretch from base 1 to 71 matches the Rfam family "5.8S ribosomal RNA", at positions 84 to 154 of the family's 154-position model. The record is from RNAcentral. Lineage: Eukaryota; Fungi; Glomeromycota; Glomeromycetes; Glomerales; Glomeraceae.